Long non-coding RNA from Oncorhynchus keta (chum salmon), 1074 nucleotides. RefSeq lists it as uncharacterized. The transcript has 4 exons. Lineage: Eukaryota; Metazoa; Chordata; Actinopteri; Salmoniformes; Salmonidae. The record is from RefSeq and is a predicted model, not a curated record.
CUUUAGUUAUCAUCACACCACUGACCCACAAUGCAACUGCACUUACAUUACAUCAAUUAACACUUCUGCUUCCUGGGCUUUCCUUUUGCACUGUGGGACAUGGGAGUUGUAGAGUACACCAGCAGGUAUCACAUGUACUGCCUCCUGGGCUUUCCUUUUGCACUGUGGGACAUGGGAGUUGUAGAGUACACCAGCAGGUAUCACAUGUACUGCCUCCUGGGCUUUCCUUUUGCACUGUGGGACAUGGGAGUUGUAGAGUACACCAGCAGGUAUCACAUGUACUGCCUCCUGGGCUUUCCUUUUGCACUGUGGGACAUGGGAGUUGUAGAGUACACCAGCAGGUAUCACAUGUACUGCCUCCUGGGCUUUCCUUUUGCACUGUGGGACAUGGGAGUUGUAGAGGACACCAGCAGGUAUCACAUGUACUGCCUCCUGGGCUUUCCUUUUGCACUGUGGGACAUGGGAGUUGUAGAGUACACCAGCAGGUAUCACAUGUACUGCCUCCUGGGCUUUCCUUUUGCACUGUGGGACAUGGGAGUUGUAGAGUACACCAGCAGGUAUCACAUGUACUGCCUCCUGGGCUUUCCUUUUGCACUGUGGGACAUGGGAGUUGUAGAGUACACCAGCAGGUAUCACAUUUAUUCACCCCCCUUUUGACUUUUUCCAUAUUUUGUUGUUUUACAGCCUGAAAAUAAAAUGGACUAAAUUAAGGGUUUGUGUCACGACCCUGGCCUACACACAAUACCCCAUAAUGUCAAUGUGGAAUUAUGUUUCUAUACAGUUUUACAAGUUGUCAAAAAAAAUAAUAGAUGAAAUAUCUUGAGUCAAUAAGUAAUCAAUCCCUUUUUUAAGGCAUACCUAAAUACGUUUGGGAGUGAAAAUGUGCUUAACGAAACACGAAGUAAGUUGCAUUGACUACCCCAUCUCUGUACCCCAAACAUACAAUUAUCUGUAUGGUCCCUCAAUUGACUAUUGAAUUUCAAUCACUCUUCAACCACAAAGACUAGAGAUGUUUUCCAAUGCCUUGUAAAGAAGGGCACUGAUUGGUAGACGUGUAAAAAUUAUAUAUAUAUA